UAGUGAGUUUGAUCCUGGCUCAGAACGAACGCUGGCGGCAUGCCUAACACAUGCAAGUCGAACGAGACCUUCGGGUCUAGUGGCGCACGGGUGCGUAACGCGUGGGAAUCUGCCCUUGGGUUCGGAAUAACAGUUAGAAAUGACUGCUAAUACCGGAUGAUGUCUUCGGACCAAAGAUUUAUCGCCCAAGGAUGAGCCCGCGUAGGAUUAGCUAGUUGGUAGGGUAAAGGCCUACCAAGGCGACGAUCCUUAGCUGGUCUGAGAGGACGAUCAGCCAC
This 278-nucleotide ribosomal RNA is filed under the name uncultured Sphingomonadaceae bacterium. Its description in RNAcentral is "partial 16S ribosomal RNA". It matches the Rfam family "Bacterial small subunit ribosomal RNA", at positions 1 to 311 of the family's 1533-position model. Lineage: Bacteria; Pseudomonadati; Pseudomonadota; Alphaproteobacteria; Sphingomonadales; Sphingomonadaceae. The record is from RNAcentral.